UAUAAUAUGUUCGUGAUAGUGCUAUCAUACAUGUAUGUACCCAUUUGAUAUGGCAAGAAAAAUAACAUACCGUGAGUGAUGGAAACGAAAUAAUAAAAAGAAGCCACUUUUGCAUAGGAUAAAAGAUACACAUCGAAAGGUUUUUUUCUUUAAAUUGGAGUGAUCAAAUUAAGUUUGUCACUUAGUCAACAUAGUUUAAUGUACCUACUGACAAUAUAAGAUGGUGUUCUCUAACCUAUUCGAUUAAAUGAAAGACACAAAUUGAGCCCACCAGGAAAUGAAAAUUAGUAAGUUAUUCUUUUUAAAAGUAUUUAAUAUUUUCGAGCAUCUAGGACCACAAGGCUUUAGAAAAGGAUAAAUAAUUCGCAAAUCUGACGCAGUUGUAUAUAAGAUCACUGUUUUAGAUUGCACACAACGUCACAAGUGAAAACACCGAUGUAAUACUCGAAAUCAGGAAAUAACCACCAUCUCUCUCAGAGGUCGUCUUUCUCAUUAUUGUGGGGAAACCUCAAAGGGCAUCAGGAAAACCUUCAUCAACCUCUUUGUGCCCAGUGGCUUUUGCAACAGUGUUUCAGAAAUUAUCAUUAAAAUGGGGAUAAUGGAUGACUGGCCACACAUAUGGGGCUAUGGACAAGCUUCAGAGCAGGCUGCCAGCUACAUUAGAUGACAAGCCAUCUAUGCUGGACAUUCUUCACAAUAAAAUGUGAUGUCACAGGAGCUGUCUAUCUCAACAGCUCACACUGUCCGUAUUUGACUAAAGGAAUGAAUGAAGUCACUGCAGAAGUUGGAUUGAGGAAUGUCCAUGUCACUACCCAUCAUUUGGAAGGAGUUGGAUAAAAAAAGUGUGGCCUAUGUAUUGAAACUGGUCCGACAUUCCAGUUACGGACAGUCUUGAUUUGUUUGAUUACAUUUCUGACCAACAUGAUGGUCUAAAAGAACACUUACUGGUAACUGGUAAAAUCAUGGCCCAGUUGUUCCAAGAGGCAGGCGAGUUGGAAGUUACUAGACUCCAUUUCUUUAUGGGUUGAUCUGAGGUUCCAGUUCAGUUAAAGUACUGAUGGAACACCAAGUGUUUGCCAUAAUACAGCAACAUUUGAUUUGUAACUAUGUAUUUGUUUGAAUUGUUGAAACAGUACUGUUUACUAAGUAAUGUGUAUAUAUAUGAAGAAUAAUAUAAUAAAAUAAUUUGUAAGAACCUUUUGAUAUUAAGUAAAAUGUCGAUAAGUCUAAAUAUGUAUCUGUAAAUCAUUUUUGUAUAUCUGUAAAGAUUACAUUGCCUUUAUUUGUCGCGUAACGCCAACGCUCACUUAACUUUCGUGAUAGUUCGUUCAGUUAACAACCAACAACUGUUCAAGUGUUCAUAGUCUUUAUUUUGUUAUGUACCUUCUUAAGUAUCAUACGGGCUAUAUGUCUAGUUCAUGCCCAAAACCUAACCUAAACUUAACUGUGUAACAUGCUUUCAUAUAUACUGCUGAUUUCGUUUGUGACAGGUGUGCAUAUUUAAUUUCUUGUUAUAUACAAAAAGAUGUAUUCUACAGCCAUGAACUGUCACGCUAAUUGGUCUAAUAGCCAGCGGCUAUCACGAACUGUCAGCAUCUAAGUAAAUCUACAUUUGAUCACCAUGAUGAAGUAUUUGCUUGUCUAAUAGCCAGCGGCUAUCACGACUGUCACCAGCUAAGUACAUCUACAUUUAAUAAUUAUGAUGAAGUAUUUGCUUUUUGUUACAAAUAAACUUUGAAUUCUA
Molecule: long non-coding RNA, 1744 nt
Organism: Mya arenaria
Lineage: Eukaryota; Metazoa; Mollusca; Bivalvia; Myida; Myidae
Exons: 3
Source: RefSeq, a predicted model, not a curated record